This is a long non-coding RNA of Cyprinus carpio (common carp), 1803 nucleotides long. The record is from Ensembl. NCBI's taxonomy places the organism in Eukaryota, Metazoa, Chordata, Actinopteri, Cypriniformes, Cyprinidae.
UUUUGCAGAGAAUGCACUAAAACACCACUGAAGACUCUGAUCCAAACAGCUGGCCAGAAACUACACACAGACAGUGAAACUGAGUGUCCAUCAUGAUGCGUUUGAAGAUGUUGAAGAGAAUUAGAGAGAGUAGGCAUCCUUGACACAUACUUACUGUCAUCAUGAACCAGCUACAGAAGGAGUCCUUUGAAGAGGACUGCAUGGUGGCCUUGUCAUGACGCUGACAUGGUAACUUGGGGCUGAUGUUGUCACCCAUAAAUCUGUCUACCAGACCCAGUCAAGCACUUUCUUGAAAUUCACAAAACAAAAUCUAUGUCCUGCCCUGGAAUCCAGCCUGUGUCUCUGCAAUUAUUAAGCUUGAGAGAUUCAGUAUUGUUUUUCAGAAGAACUUAAUAGCUGCUUAACUGAAGUUGAUGGUCAUGGUGUCUACAUUCAACUCUUCUGCAUUCAGGAUGAGCACUGGUGCAAAUUUUAUUCCAAGAUUUCUGCCACCUUGGGAUCUCGCAAUUUGUACAGAUCUGUCUAGUGCUCUUUGCAUUUGUCAUGUUUUUCAGUUGAAGGCAAAAAUGCAUGAUUGCUUCCAAUACGUGACCUUGGAGCACUAAAGCAGUCAUAAGUAGCAGUGGUAUAUUUGUAGCAAUAGCCAACAAUACACUUUAUGGGUCAAAAUUAUCCAUUUUUCUUUUAUGCCAAAAAUCUUUAGGAUUUUAAGUAAAGAUCAUGUUGCAUGAAGAUAUUUUGUAAAUUUUCUACUGUAAAUACAUAAAAACUUUAUUUUUGAUUAGUAAUAUGCAUUGCUAAAAACUUCAUUUGAACAACUUUAAAGGCGAUUUUCUCAAUAUUUAGAUUUCUUUGCACCCUCAGAUUCCAGAUUUUCAAUCCUAAUCCUUGUCCUGUCCUAACAAACCACACAUCAAUGGAAAGAUUAUUUAUUCAGCUUUCAGAUGGUGUUUAUAGAACGUUUUUAGAACCACAUCAUUUGGACCACUGGGAAAAUAAAAAUAAAAACAGUAAACUUGAAUGUUAUUGGGUCAUCGAUUACUCUUAUUCUGUUUGUUUUUUUCUUAUUAAUAUUUUUAUCCAUUUCUUAGCACAUUUAUUUAUUACAAUUUAUUGUUUUUUGUUAUUGCUAUUGAGUAAAGCUCUUUUUCUCGUCAUUACUGGUUUUGUGUAUAAUGCUUUGGCAAUAUUGUGUGUAAACAAUCAUUAUACUAAAUUCCACUGACGAAGGAAACAGAGAGGAAAAUGAGAGAGAGGCGGAUGCUGGGGAGGGCAUGAGAGGAAAGCGAUCAUUAAUGAGGGAACGGCAGAUGCUCCAAUCUGUCGAGUGGAUUCAUCCGUCAGGAUAAUAACACUGCUGGCUCCUGUCUACUCAGGCCUGUGUCUGUUACUGAGCGAGACAGACACACCUGCGAUUCUCUCAAGAUUUACACUGAUCGGACUGAUACAGUGCACUGGAUAUGGAUCAUAUAUGUGACCCUUGACCACAAAACCAGUCAUAAUGGUCAAUUUUUUUUUUUCUAAUUGAGAUUAAUACAUGAUCUGAAGCUGGAUAAAUUGGCUUUCCAUUGAUGUAUGAUUUGUUAGAAUAGAACCAUAUUUAGCUGAGAUACAACUAUUUGAAAAUCUGGAAUCCGAGGGUGUAAAAAAAUACAAAUAUUGAGAAAAUCACCUUUAAAGUUGUCGACUUAGCAAUGCAUAUUAUCAUACAAAAAUUAAGUUUUGAAAUAUUUACGGUAGGAAAUUUACAAAAUAUCUUCAUGGAACAUGAUCUUUAUUUAAUAUCCUAAUGAUUUUUGGCCU